UCGUGCUAACAAAACUGGAAAGCGUACGUUAAAAACUUGGCUAUUAUUUGAAUAUCUUUUUAUUAACGCGCCGUAUGCGAGUGACAUCUGUGAGUGUAAUGAAAUUAGGCGUGAGUAAGUGUAAGAGUACAUUCCACAACGUAUUUCUGUGUCCUUAUAAAUAUUGUUAUCUUAUCCAUUUAAUUAUAUGGUUUAUUUCUUUAAUCGAUGUAUAUAAAGUUAUUAUUUCCUUCUUCAAUAUUCGUAACAGAUUAUUCGAUCAAAAUUUUUGUCAUAUAAAUAACAAAAUACACAUUAAUUUCGCGAGUUAAAUCGGCAAAAAGAAACGACACGUGCGGGAAUCAGUUACAAAAUGGUCAAAGAUGAUAUCUCGCGAAGAACGGGAUAUCAAUUAAACAGGAAUGAUUUUCUAUUUUGGAAAUCUCAACAGAAAACUAUUUCUGAAUAUGGAAUUGAAUACCUGAUGGUAAGAUUUGAUUCAAAGGUAAGCUGACGAUUCGGAAAAUCAAACGACAAGACUAUGGAUAAAAAAUAACGUGCGUAUCGUGUUUCUUAUUUUGUCUUCAAUCGACUAACGCACACUGGAAUAUUUGAUUAGGAACUUAAAUGUAUGUGAAUUACAAAAAUUUCAUAAAUAAAGAAAUAAUUAUUUUAUUUAUGAAAUGAAAAUAAACUCAAAUAAUUUGACGCUAAUGAAGAAGUUUCAUUCUGUUAUGUUUCACCUGUCAAGGGUCAAAGAAAGGUCACAUCAAACGAGAGAGAUCUGAGCAAGAAAGUUAUCGAACUUGUUAUGAUUUUGAAGACAAUUUGCCAACGAUAUAACACAAAUAACAGGUGAUAGCAUUACAGUAAGUGAUCAAAUGAUCAAAAAAUUCCGGGAUAAAUUCAUAAAAGAAUCAGAGGGUGUAAGAAAUGAAAGAGACAAGUACCUUGUCAGCGACAACGACAAUGAAAUGACAAAACAAAACAAAAACUGAAAAUGGAAGGCAAAGAAGAAAGUUAUGAUACGAACAGGUAAAAAUAAAUUCUUUAUGUGCGAAUAAUCAAACAAACAAUUUCGGGAAAUAAUAAGAAAAAAGGAGUAUAAACUGAUAGAUGACGAAUCGAUUAACGUUUUCGUUAUCACUAACGGUAUCAAUCAACGAAGGAACGUUCAAAAAGGGUCGGUAAAAUGAUAUCCUAGAUACAAUAGACAGAUAAUGUAGAUGCUUGAGUUACCGACAAUAUUGGAUCUCGCUAAAUUUUGCACAGCUUUGAAUGAUUUUCUGAAUUAUAUUUUGUUAGUUUCGAAGAAAAUUUUGUCGAAAUUUUACGAAACGGAGUGAUACUGAUUAGUGGCACCAAACAGAACAAUAAAAUCUGCCCAGGAUGUUAUAUCCGGAACCGAUAUACAUUGCAGUUUACUCGCUUAAUCAAAUGGAAUACGAUGAUCCUGAGAAAAUGACACCGCAUGAUGCCUGGGCAAAGGAGAAAUCCAGAAUAUGACAUAUAAAGCUUCAAUCUCAGCCAUCAAUCAGUCUCAACAAUCCGAUCGAUGAGAAAUUUCAUGAUGGAUGCACCAAUGUAUGCAGACAAGUUGAUAAAUUUGAUGAAUUAUAUGAACGAGAAAUACCUCGAUGAAUUAUUCGAGAUUAUACCGCAAUACGUUUAUCUUGGAGUGUCGUUUGCACGUUUAUAUCAACUUUACAAAUAUAUUGAUUAAAAAUUUAUUAAGACAAAAAAUAAUUUUUAAUUAAAAAUACAUUUUAGAAUACUUGCGAUAAUAUGACCGAAUAUAAAAUCAGAUAAUGAAAAUAUCGUAAAAAUAGGAGGCAGCGGACCUUCAUACGAACUGAAAUAUUAAUUUUGGUGCUUGUUGUAAUAUAACGUAAUCUUUGUAGAAUAAAAUAAUAAAUGUUCCUUGUUACG
Long non-coding RNA from Vespa velutina, 1908 nucleotides. RefSeq lists it as uncharacterized. The transcript is spliced from 3 exons. The record is from RefSeq and is a predicted model, not a curated record. Lineage: Eukaryota; Metazoa; Arthropoda; Insecta; Hymenoptera; Vespidae.